Molecule: transfer RNA, 88 nt
Filed under: Anaerocellum diazotrophicum
Lineage: Bacteria; Bacillati; Bacillota; Caldicellulosiruptorales; Caldicellulosiruptoraceae
Description: Caldicellulosiruptor sp. YA01 tRNA-Leu
Rfam family: tRNA
About the family: Transfer RNA (tRNA) molecules are approximately 80 nucleotides in length. Their secondary structure includes four short double-helical elements and three loops (D, anti-codon, and T loops).
Source: RNAcentral
GCCGAAGUGGUGGAACUGGCAGACGCGCUGGACUCAAAAUCCAGUGGCCGCAGAGGCCGUGCGGGUUCGACUCCCGCCUUCGGCACCA